Molecule: ribosomal RNA, 198 nt
Filed under: uncultured bacterium
Lineage: Bacteria
Description: partial 16S ribosomal RNA
Rfam family: Bacterial small subunit ribosomal RNA
Source: RNAcentral
ACGCUCGACACCUACGGGAUGCAGCAGUGGGGAAUAUUGCACAAUGGGGGAAACCCUGAUGCAGCGACGCCGCGUGAGCGAAGAAGUAUUUCGGUAUGUAAAGCUCUAUCAGCAGGGAAGAAACUGACGGUACCUGACUAAGAAGCACCGGCUAAAUACGUGCCAGCAGCCGCGGUAAUCUGAGCGGGCUGGCAAGGC